RNAcentral lists this long non-coding RNA (449 nucleotides) under Carassius auratus (goldfish). RNAcentral's name for it is "lncRNA (ENSCARG00000040468.1)". The record is from RNAcentral. Lineage: Eukaryota; Metazoa; Chordata; Actinopteri; Cypriniformes; Cyprinidae.
CUUUAAAAUAAUAAACGCGUACACGUUCUGAAGUAUUGGCAUUGACUAGUGUUAUUUGUGUGGUUGUAGUUUUUGUAUUGGACUGUGAAGAUUAGUGAUGCUUAUCAAAAUUAUGCCAUUAGGUGGCAGUACCAACGAUGUUUCGUCCAGCAUUACUGAAGAAGAAUACCGCCAACGUGACUAACGGAGGAACAAACCUGAGACAGAGGCUUGCCAGCAGCAAUACACACGAGCUAAGAAUUUAGUGUGGAAAAAAUGCAGGACAAUCCUUCCAGUACCACAAUGGAGAGGCAGACUCCCAAAGGCAACAGAUGUAAAACAUCCUGCUGAAUACUUUAGAGGCCUCCUCACUAGUAGCUGUAUUGAAAAUAUAGUAGAACAAACCAACCUCUAUGCCAUACAGUGUGAUCCUAGCAAACCACUCAAAGUCACAUUUGAGGAGAUUGAGC